Molecule: transfer RNA, 72 nt
Filed under: Isognathotermes ugandensis
Lineage: Eukaryota; Metazoa; Arthropoda; Insecta; Blattodea; Termitidae
Description: Cubitermes ugandensis tRNA-Ser
Source: RNAcentral
AGUUAAAAAGCAAAGAAUUAAGCCCAAUGCCUUGAAAACAUUGUGAAAGGAGUUAAAAUCUCCUAUUAACUU